Long non-coding RNA from Sciurus carolinensis (gray squirrel), 372 nucleotides. RefSeq lists it as uncharacterized. Lineage: Eukaryota; Metazoa; Chordata; Mammalia; Rodentia; Sciuridae. The record is from RefSeq and is a predicted model, not a curated record. The transcript is spliced from 3 exons.
CUGGGAAGGUGACCCGGGAAGCUCACCAGCCCUGGGCUUGGAACUAUGGCAAAGGGCCUCCUCUCCACCACCACCAUCCCCAGGAGCACUGAAAACAAGCCUUGCAAAAUCCUACCGACUACUAAGAUCCCAGUCUAUGUUCCCACCUGGCUUUGUAGCUGCAACUCACUUGUCUCACACCCAGGCUCACUCCCAUCUCCUCUGCUACACAAGAGGCUCAAACAGAAUAACUGCAAGUUCAAAGCCAGCCUGGACCAUAUUGCAAGGCUGCCUCCAAAAUAGAAAGAAAGAAAGAAAAGAAAAGAAUCUACAGAUGACAGGGACAUCGUGCACCUUCCCCUGGGUUAUUUCCACUUACUGUAUAUCUCCAGC